Molecule: ribosomal RNA, 714 nt
Filed under: uncultured bacterium
Lineage: Bacteria
Description: bacterial SSU rRNA
Rfam family: Bacterial small subunit ribosomal RNA
Source: RNAcentral
AAAUGCGUAGAGAUCGGGAGGAAUACCAGUGGCGAAGGCGGCUUUCUGGACUGACACUGACACUGAGGUGCGAAAGCGUGGGUAGCAAACAGGAUUAGAUACCCUGGUAGUCCACGCCGUAAACGAUGUCGACCAGCCGUUGGGUGCCUAGCGCACUUUGUGGCGAAGUUAACGCGAUAAGUCGACCGCCUGGGGAGUACGGCCGCAAGGUUAAAACUCAAAUGAAUUGACGGGGGCCCGCACAAGCGGUGGAGCAUGUGGUUUAAUUCGAUGCAACGCGAAGAACCUUACCUACUCUUGACAUCCUGCGAACUUGUGAGAGAUCACUUGGUGCCUUCGGGAGCGCAGAGACAGGUGCUGCAUGGCUGUCGUCAGCUCGUGUUGUGAAAUGUUGGGUUAAGUCCCGUAACGAGCGCAACCCUUGUCCUUAUUUGCCAGCGGGUAAUGCCGGGAACUCUAAGGAGACUGCCGGUGACAAACCGGAGGAAGGUGGGGACGACGUCAAGUCAUCAUGGCCCUUACGAGUAGGGCUACACACGUGCUACAAUGGCCGGUACAAAGGGUUGCGGGCUCGCGAGAGUCAGCUAAUCCCGAAAAGCCGGUCUCAGUCCGGAUCGGAGUCUGCAACUCGACUCCGUGAAGUCGGAAUCGCUAGUAAUCGUGAAUCAGAAUGUCACGGUGAAUACGUUCCCGGGCCUUGUACACACCGCCCGU